UUUCUCUCUCUUUUUCUCCUCCUGCCUCUAUUCUCUUCCCUCUCAACUGUGUAAGGUUAAUCAUCUGAUCUUUGAAGAACUGUGUAACGUUAAUCGAGUUUAGGAUUUCGGUCUGUGAUUCGUCAGAUCUGGAGAUUUGAUUAACUGAUCUUGAAUCUCAUCUUAGAAGUGAAGAACAACAUCAAAAAAAAAAGAGAUUCAUCAACCAAUUCCAACAAUUGGGAGGAGGAGGUAUUACAGAGAAUGGAUGUAUCAAAGUGAAGUCAGUGAAGUCAGUGAAGUAAAGAAGUUACAAGGGAACAUGAGAUGUUUUAGAAAUCAGUAAGAAGAGGGAACAUGAAAUGUUUUCUGUAAUGGAAUUUGGAAAUCAGUAUUAAAUUGGAUUUCGGUGGUUGCCGGUGUCUGUAAUAAGACAAGAAGUAGCUGCUGGGAAGGAAUUUGAUGGUGGACAACUGGGUGAUUGUGAAAUAUUCAAUGGGUUCCGGUUUCAUGGAUUUGGUCAUCAUCUCUGUGUUAAGUUUGCACUGUAAGGGAUGCUGAUCAUUUGUGGUUGGUUCAUCUUGCAAACUUGAAGAGGGAGACUGUGUUGACGCCACUUGGUUGAGGAGCUCUCUGACCAGUUUUUCGCCACCAUGUGCAUAACCACUUCACCUGCAUACAUCAUCACAGUGACCACCAGUCUCCAUCAUCAACCUUCAUUCACCACCACCAUCACAGCUGGGCAAAAAAGCAAAAGAAUUGAAGAAAGCAGCUGAUGCACUCCACCGAGAGGAGAAAAACGGUGCUAAGGGGAGAAAAUGGCGCCAAAAUGUCAAGGCUAUUGAAAAGAUGGUAUUAACUGCUGGUGCAACCCCUGCAGUUGAGAUUCUUAGUUUCUGCCUGGCUGAUACUGGAAAUGCAUUCCUUGUGCCUUCACCGUAUUACCCGGGUGGUAUCUGUACUAGACAUUUCUCCACUUUUUCCUUUAGUGGUUUCGUUCGUACCGAGGUACCAACUCAUUUCUUCUAGGUGUUGAGAUGUAUCGUUAGAGCAGGUGAGGGGCAGUGUUGUAGAUUUGAGACCGAAAGAUUAAGCAAGAGAAGGCAGAGACUGUUAUGUGAGUUAUGUGCUUGUUUUGUUUUAUUCUUAUGUGCUCUUAGUUGUGAAAAGAUGUUGUAUGAGCUUUAUACCGCACACAACUUAGUAAUACUUAUUAAGUUUCUAAGCAGAUAUUGUGUUCCUCAAAACUUACGGAUUCUGUUUAGUAGUUGUUGAAACUUGAAAGAAUACAAGUUAUUGUUGGUCAUUGUGUAAUAGAAAUUGUAUACAUUGAAUGAAAGACUUGUGCAGGUAAUUAUUUUUGAA
This is a long non-coding RNA of Papaver somniferum (opium poppy), 1344 nucleotides long. RefSeq lists it as uncharacterized. The record is from RefSeq and is a predicted model, not a curated record. The transcript has 8 exons. NCBI's taxonomy places the organism in Eukaryota, Viridiplantae, Streptophyta, Magnoliopsida, Ranunculales, Papaveraceae.